CGAAGGAUGCAAGCGUUAUCCGGAUUCAUUGGGUUUAAAGGGAGCGUAGGCGGCCUUAUAAGUCAGUGGUGAAAUCUUUGGGCUUAACCCAAAAAAUUGCCAUUGAUACUGUAGGGCUUGAGUACAGUUGCUGUGGGCGGAAUAUGACAUGUAGUGGUGAAAUACAUAGAGAUGUCAUAGAACACCGAUUGCGAAGGCAGCUCACAAAACUGUAACUGACGCUGAGGCUCGAAAGUGCGGGGAUCAAACAGGAUUAGAUACCCUGGUAGUCCGCACUGUAAACGAUGAUUACUCGCUGCUGGAAGGUAACUUUCAGUGGCUUAGCGAAAGCGAUAAGUAAUCCACCUGGGGAGUACGCCGGCAACGGUG
This 369-nucleotide ribosomal RNA is filed under the name uncultured organism. Its description in RNAcentral is "bacterial SSU rRNA". It matches the Rfam family "Bacterial small subunit ribosomal RNA", at positions 526 to 896 of the family's 1533-position model. The record is from RNAcentral.